This is a long non-coding RNA of Pygocentrus nattereri (red-bellied piranha), 5520 nucleotides long. RefSeq lists it as uncharacterized. NCBI's taxonomy places the organism in Eukaryota, Metazoa, Chordata, Actinopteri, Characiformes, Serrasalmidae. The record is from RefSeq and is a predicted model, not a curated record. The transcript is spliced from 4 exons.
AGUCAGUAGAGUGAACAGCAGAGGACUGAGCACACAGCCCUCAGGGGCACUGGUGCUUAGUGUGGUGGUGCUGGAGAUGUUAUUUCCUGUCCUGACUAACUGAGGUCUCUCAGAUAGGAAAACAAGACACCAAAGCAGUGCUUUCAGUUUAAACAUACGUAAAAGGAGGACUCCACUUGUCUGAUGUGAGAGAUUCACACUGCAGUUAAUGCUCAUACACAGCAAACGUCAGAUAUAUGGCGGUUCACCCCUUAAACUACUACCAUAGAGAAAUCCAGUCGUCUGCUAGCUGCUGUUUGAAUACUGUGAUAUACCCUGACAUGGAUGUGGUAGGAGUGAUGGCAAUAAUGUUUGCUGGUUGUUGAGAAACUAAACAGUUUUACACUGUUCUUGGCCAUUUGUUUAGCAUGUUGUAAUGGGAUAACCAGUCAUUCGUCACCAGACCGCUAAAAAAAUCUGUUUUCUUUCUUAAAUUAUAACUAUUACAAAAACUGGUAAAAACAUCUCACCAGACACUUUCUCCCACUCUCCCAUGACAGAUUUGUGAAAUGUUCCGACCAUAAAUGAUAGUUUAAAAAAAAGCAAUUAACCCAACAGAAGCAAAAAUCAGCCUUCAAACUUGAAAGAAAUAAUGAGGGCAUUUAUUGCGAUAUAUAUCGAUGUCGAAUGACAUGAAAUUAGUGAUAACAUUUUUGGCCUCUACUUCCACAUUGAUAUUAUUACACUAAGCAGCUAAUACUACAGCUGUAACACAUGACAUACCAACUUCACGCUUCCUUACAAAACACAGAAGGCGUCGUGUCUACGGUGGUGCAAAGUCUACGGUCAGAGUCUACGGUGACUCGAGUCUACGGUCAGAGUCUACGGUGACUCGAGUCUACGGUGACUCUGGACCAAUCGCCUUCAGGAUCGCUAUCAGUGUGCAAGUCUAGACUAAUCGUAUGUCGGAUACUCGAUCGUUGCCGCUGUGUGCAAGGCUCGACCAGUCUCGUGUCGAUGCUCGAUCGCUGCCGCUGUGGGCGAGUCUGUCGUUUCUCUGACAGAAGUGACCCGUUAGUGAACGUGCAUUGAGGUAAGACUCGAGAAAACAUGUUAACUAGAAGAAUAGUUAUUUUUCGGAGUUCAAGUCAAACACGAGUGGUUUUACCCACUACGGCGUAUUUUCUGUCGAUAUCCAUUCUGUCUAAUUCUGCCUAGCUAGCUAACGCUAGCUAAAUAGGUUGAAUCAUACAACACUGAAUAACUAAUUUGAGCAAUGAAGAUGUUUGCCCAAUUGUCCGAGGGUUUCACAGUGCAUCUGAUUUUUACCUCAGUGACAAUAAAAAGUAGAAUCUUGUUCUUAUAUAACUUUUAACCCCUAAGAUUUCUGUUUUUUCUGCAUAUAAAACACCGUAGUUGAACCCAGCUCCACCUCCAGCAGCUCCAACAGCUCUCACAUGCUGCUUAAACUCUCAUGCCUCAAUUUGAAUCAUUUAAUGAUGUCAUAUAUGAUAAUAUAUCAGUCAGAGGAACCAAACCAGUACGUUUACUUUAAUACUACAAUUUACCUCUAAUACUUGCACACUUUUGCAAGUAAUAUGAUUUUUUAUGCAGGACUUUUACUUGUAAUGGAGUGUUUAAACAUUGCUGUGUUGGUACUUUUACUUAAAUAAGAAUCUGAAUACUUUUUACAACACUGAACACUGCUGUUGUUGUGGCCUUACUGUAUCGCUGUUUUUAGCUAAAACUGAAGAUGACAGCCCCAGUUAUCUGCGUGGUCAACCCAGAUGCCCCUGCGAAACAUCAACAGGCCGUACUGGUGGCGACUAAAGAGGCCCGUUACUAUCGGGAGAAAAAAAAUUGGCCUUCCCAGACCUCCACAGGAGCUGCUGAACAAGGCCACUGCCCUGGCCCACGCAGAGAAACUCCUUCGAGCAGAGGGCAUCCCUGCGCCAUCACAUCAGCUGUGCUUGGGAAAGCUGGUGGUGCCAUUUGGCCAGCAUGAGAAUGCCCUGUUCCGUUGGCUUGUGGCAAACAAUGUGGGCUAUAUGAAAUACAACUGCAGACAAGCACCACCAAAUGUGAUCCUACGUCAUGGCCAGGUGAUGACACUGAACUGUUAGCUGCAAGCCAGUCUAUAGAAGGUGUGGUGUGGAUAGGAACGAUGUGCUCCUUCCGAGGGACCGGACCGAAGGCUAUGGUCAAGGUAUGGUGACAGAUACAGGAGAAUCAUGUUGAGGAGUACCUUCAACAUAAGGACCUGUAGACCACACUCCUCACGACUGUCGUGAAUUCCGGAGGGAUUGUUAGGGCACACUUUUCAGGCUCUACCUCCUCCAAGAGAGCUUUCCUCUGCAUGGCUCCUGUGACACACCUUCCUGCUGGCAGAGACUAACAAUGUGCAGGAUUACAGGAGCCAGAUCCUCUCCACUUUUGGGACUGUGCUCAAAAUGGAAAGAAGAAAAGAAAGUAUGCAUAUUAAAACGUAAUGCCAUGCUGUAUGACACUAAACACAGUUGCAAAAUUAUUAUUAUUAUUAUUAUUAUAAAUUAUUAUUUAAAAAUCUAUUAUAGAAUCCAACAGUGGCUAUCACAUUAUGCAAACAUAUUUUUAGGUUGUGAACAAGCUGUCUGGGGAGGGUGCAGGCUCAGUUGAGUGGUUCACCAGCAUUGGAAACGAGCACUGCCAAAUAGUUUCCUUUGUGCUAAACUGUGAUGAGUCUGCUGAGAAGCUGCAGCCGAUGUGCCAUGGAGUGAUGAACAGGUUUCGGCUGGCCAAUCAGCCUGUCCCCAAGAUCUUGUAUGUGGACAGUGGGUGUUGCCGUGCACAGGGCCGAACAGCUGUGGAGACAAUGGGAUGGUUGUGCAUCUGGACAUCUUUCACUGGAUCCACCGGUUUGAUGCAGCCAUCCGCACAAGGUCUCACUCCAAGUAUGCCACGUUCAAGUCUGCGCUGGCUGGAGCAGUGCUGGCGUACAACCGCACACAUUUGGAGCUACUCAUCAGGGCUGUCAGAGCUAAGGACCUGCCAGCGCUGAAGGCUGUCAGAUGAAGAUGUUCUACGCCGCUAUAUUUCCAGGGAGCAACUGAAACACCGUGUUCGGAGGGUUACACUCGCGUCUCAGGAAACAUUCCGGCUCGUCCAUCUGUACCUACGGUACUGUGCAAGAGUCUUAGUUGUCUGAGAAAGUGAAAUGUAAAGCUAAUUAUCUGAGCAGUAUAUUUUACUGCCAAGACAUUAGUUUUAAACAAUAUUCUUGGCUGCACAAAGAACUUUUGUAUGGGACUGUAUAUACACCAACCAGCCACUUCAUUAAGUACAGUGUAAAAGGGGCCUAACAAAUUAUGCAAUGGUCAGGAUCCCUACAGGACCACAACAAAGGGAGUGGAUCAGAGAGAACAGUAAUGCUUGAGACCACUGUUGCAAACUAUGCAAUGGUCAGGACCACCACAGAAUACCUGGAUCAGACAAAGCAGUAUUACUGGAGAUUUUAAACAGUGUUCACUCACUGUCCACCCUAUUAGGUACCCUACCUUGUUAAUCCACCUUGUGUUCCAACAUUACAUCAAGAUAUUACUGCCAAGACAUUAGCUGUGAACAAUACUCUUGGCUGCAUAUAGAACUUUUGCACAGGAAUGUAUGUUCAGUGACUGGCCACUUCAUUAAUUACACCUACCUUGUUCUACACUAAUUGUCCAUUUUAUCAGCUCCACUUAACACAUAUGUGCACAUUAUAGUUCCACAAUUACAGACUGUAGUCCAUCUCUUUCACUGCAUACUUUGUUAAUCCCCUUUUACCCUGUUCUUCAAUGGUGAGACCCCCCACAGGACCACCACAGAUCAAGUGGACCAGACACAGCAGUGUUAUUGUAGAUUUUAAACAUUGUGUCCAGUCACUGUCCUCUCUGUUAGACACACCUACCUUGUUGCUCCAUCUUGUAGAUGUAAAAUCGGAGACAAUAUAGAGAAAAUAAAAUCAAUGUGCUCAAAGUCAAACUACUCAGCCUCUAUAGACCAAUAUAACAUGUCUACUCAGAAAAAAAGACCAUUAAAAAUGACAUAUUUAAAUUGUCGUCAGGGUAAAUAUUUUGGUAGGUUUAGAGCAAAAUAACUGAACAUGUGCUCUAAAUGUCCCAUCUACAAAGACAUCCUGACAUAAUCAGUGCUCAAAUCAGCCUGAUUGGGCUACAAAUUUCAUGAAAAGAUGUGAAUGAUUUAGUUUCAAAAUGUCAUAACUGUUUUCCUCUCCUCCCCAAGAUGCAUGUUGCUGAGAGUAUGCUACUAUAUAAACAAAUAGCAUGUUUAUAAGAGAAAUAAAUGUGUGUUUUGAUUAAGUGUGUUGUACAUUCAAUGGACACAUUUAUGUCCAAAAUAAUAACAAGUAAAUAAACUGUAUUUUGGACUGAAAUUUUGAUGAGAUCCACUGCUACAGAUCCAUCUAGUGGCUACAGUAAAAAGUACAUUUAUCUAAUAAACAGUUUGUAUGUAAUGCUAGACAUUAUGAUUUCCUAGGCAGCAAAUUGCUGUAGAAGUUCUUGAUUGAAUUAGUGUCAGUUGGGAAUUCAACCAUAUAUAUUAAUGCUAAACUGAAAUAUGUAAUGAACUGUUUUUGUUUGACUUUACUUUAAGGCUCAGUUACCCUUGGGGUGCGUCCUCAAAGGGGUACUUCCAGGUCUCAUCAGACACUCUGCAUUUUGGUCCAAUAGCCAGUCCUGCAGAUGCAACGCUUGUGCCGUAUAUCGCCCCAAUCAGACCAAACGCAGAGGAGAACACAGAAUUCAGCAUCUGCAGACACAAAUGCACACUUAGCAUGUUCACUCACACGGCAGCGGUUCCCACAGCAACCUUUCCCACAGCAACCCUUGCCCCCAGCUCUGAUAGCAGAACAGCUUGGACACAGCAUCUGAUGGACAAUAAAACUGAACACAAAAGACUUUUACAACAUCAUUUAUGACACAGUGUUUAAUAAUAACAGUUUAUGCAAUUCCAUGUGAUCAGGUCUGUGAUGUGUAGUAGACUGAUACAUUAUUCUUAUCUAAUCUUAUUCUAUAUUAUUUUGUUUCUUAAUUUGUUAACUUAUUUGAGGCUUAUAUCUUACGUAAAGGCAGUGAAGGUUUCCCACAUUCUUAAGCAAACAAAAAUGGGCUUCCUUAGUAAAUUUUUAUGUUCAGGUUUAUUAUGGAGAUCACUGACCAAUACCAUAUACCACUGCUGUCAGAACAAAAGCUUGUAUCUCCAUUUUCAUUGUUUUAAAUGUUUUAUUUUUUACAGAAUUUGAAAAUGCCAGCUGCCAUGUUAAGAUUUCAUGAAAAAUACUUCCUUUAACGUCCAUUCAAAGUUAAGCAAGUUUUUUUCUUUUCCAAGUAAAGGUACCAUUUUGGACAUAUGAGAGUUUACUAUGACGUUUAUAUAUAUUUAUAAAUAUAUUAUAUUUAUAUAUUUUUGAAAGUGUAUUUCUAUUUGAUUUUGCCGUUGAAGAAAAUGAAGAAUAUAUUUGUUUCGAAUGCAGCAACUGAGAAAAGAGUAAGACUGUGGUGAAAA